This 993-nucleotide long non-coding RNA is filed under the name Homo sapiens (human). Its description in RNAcentral is "HSALNT0379923". Lineage: Eukaryota; Metazoa; Chordata; Mammalia; Primates; Hominidae. The record is from RNAcentral.
UGCCUAUCUCGGCCUCCCAAAGUGCUGGGAUUACAGGUGUGAGCCACUGCGCCUGGCCUGCUGCAUGUUUUUAUCAUAGUGAGUUCAGGAAUUCUCAGGUGUUGCUGCAUCUUUUGAGAUGACUAUGUGGUUUUGUUUUUUAUCAUAUUAAUAUAGUGCAUGGCAUUAAUUGUACUUGAAUGUUGAACCAAAUGUUGCUUUCCUGAGGUAAAUACCCUUGACAUAUUUUAUAAUACUUUUUACAUGUUGCUGAUUUGUUUUACUAGGAUUUCCUUGAUGAUUUUUGGCUCUAUAUUCGUAAGGUGUGUUCUUAAUUUUCAUUAUUUGAAAUCUGUUUGUCUAGUUGCGGUAUCAGGGUAAACCAACUCACAGUAUAAAUGAAAUGCGAUGCCUUCUCCACUUUGUUGUUGUUGUUUUUAACAACUUAUUAUAAAUUAAUAUUAAUUGUUAAGUGAUUCCAAUAACUGACUAAUGAAUUAUCUUGACUGGGGCAAGGAAGCAAAUCCUAGGAACAAUCACGUGAGCUUGGAAGGAGACCUUUCCCCAGCUGAGCCUCAGCCUGGGCCAUCACCUGCAUCUGGACUGAAGACCCAAAGAAACUACUCCAUCAGGAAUUGUUUGAGACCAUGCAUUAUGUGGACACUCAUAUCGUGGAAUUAUAUUGCCAAUUGGCAUUCCUAAAGCUUCUACGCUAGCAGGUUUGGAGUAAUUCACCAGUGAAGUCUUCUCAACCUGGGCAAUCAUGUGAGCUUGGAAGAUGAUGCAUCCCCAUCUCAUCUUUCAGGUGAAACCUCAGCCUUGGCCAUCACCUACAUCUGGAUUUCUGACCCAGAGAAACUUUGGUGUACUGUGGUUUCUGUAUUAAGGUCUGGUCUACAGAGAAGAGAGAUCAGGGAGCUCUUCAGUUGUACCCAGCCUCCCCACACAAAUCUACCUAACAAAGUCCUGAUAAACAGCUGGAGUACAGUGGCAUGAUUUCAGCUUACCGCAAAC